This 253-nucleotide ribosomal RNA is filed under the name uncultured bacterium. RNAcentral's name for it is "partial 16S ribosomal RNA". It matches the Rfam family "Bacterial small subunit ribosomal RNA", at positions 524 to 776 of the family's 1533-position model. The record is from RNAcentral.
UACGAAGGGUGCUAGCGUUGUUCGGAAUUACUGGGCGUAAAGGGCGCGUAGGCGGCUUUACAAGUCAGGGGUGAAAUCCCACGGCUCAACCGUGGAAUUGCCUUUGAAACUGUAAAGCUAGAGUGUCGGAGGGGAUAGCGGAAUUGCUAAUGUAGAGGUGAAAUUCGUAGAUAUUAGCAGGAACACCGGUGGCGAAGGCGGCUAUCUGGACGACAACUGACGCUGAGGCGCGACAGCGUGGGGAGCAAACAGG